RNAcentral lists this unclassified non-coding RNA (208 nucleotides) under Hevea brasiliensis (rubber tree). The record is from RNAcentral. Lineage: Eukaryota; Viridiplantae; Streptophyta; Magnoliopsida; Malpighiales; Euphorbiaceae.
GGAAGCUUGGAGUUUAUAAGAGGUGGGGUUUGUCUGAAGAACAUAUUCUUGCUGCUUUUAGGGGCCAUCCAUCAUUUAUGGCAUUAUCAGAGGAAAAGAUUAUGUUGGGAAUGGAUUUCUUUGUUAACAAAUUAGGCUGGGAAGCUGCAGCCGUUGUCAAGAACCCUGUGUUGCUUUCAUUUAGUUUAAAAAAUAGAACAAUUCCAAG